AGUGAACGCUGGCGGUAGGCCUAACACAUGCAAGUCGAACGGCAGCACAGUAAGAGCUUGCUCUUACGGGUGGCGAGUGGCGGACGGGUGAGGAAUAUAUCGUAAUCUACUUUUUCGUGGGGGAUAACGUAGGGAAACUUACUCCAAUACCGCAUACCACCUACCGUUGAAAGCAGGGGAUCUUCGCACCUUGCGCGGUUGAAUGAGCCGAUGUCGGAUUAGUUAGUUGGCGGGGUAAAUGCCCACCAAGUCGACGAUCCGUAGCUGGUCUGGGAGGAUGGUCGGCCGCACUGGAAGUGAGACGCGGUCCAGACUCCUACGAGAGGCAGCAGUGGGGAAUAUUGGACAAUGGGCGCAAGCAUGAUCCAGCCAUACGGCGUGGGUGAAGAAGGCCUUCGGGUUGGAAAGCCCGUUUGUUGGGAGAGAAAAGCAGCAGGUUAAUACCCCGCUGUUCUGACGGUACCCAAAGAAUAAGCACCGGCUAACUUCGUG
This 492-nucleotide ribosomal RNA is filed under the name uncultured bacterium. Its description in RNAcentral is "partial 16S ribosomal RNA". It matches the Rfam family "Bacterial small subunit ribosomal RNA", at positions 29 to 507 of the family's 1533-position model. The record is from RNAcentral.